AUGGCGGGGGCGGGGGCGGAGGAGGCGGUGGUGGGCGAGAGCUUCGAGUUCGCCUUUGACAAGGAGGCCUUCUCCGACAAGAAGCUGCGGGUCGAGGUCGUCGGCAGCGACGACGCCGCCACCCGCAAGCGCCGCCGCGAGGACGACAAAAGUGAUGAAGGAGAAUGUGUCGAUUCUUCUUCUAUAGUGAUGGCUGCACCAAUUUUACGAGUUACUACCAUGAAUAUCAAUUCGGCGAUUCUUGCUGUAAAAAGUCCUUUCUUUUUCAAGCUUUUCUCAAACGGCAUGAAAGAGUCUGACAAGGGACAGGCAACACUUCGAAUCGCUGAUUCAGAGGAAAAUGCCUUCAUGGAGCUUUUGUACUUUAUGUAUAGUGGAAAGUUGACUCCAACAACUGAGCCCACUCAUCUGGUUGAUAUCUUGAUGGCCGCUGACAAAUUUGAGGUCGUUUCUUGCAUUAAGCUUUGCGGUCAGCAGCUCACAAGCUUGCCUAUGACCCCAGAAUCUGCAGUGCUGUGCCUAGAUCUACCAUACUCCAUUUCAAUGGCACCUGCCCUGGCAGAGGCAGCCAAGAAAUUCUUUGCUGAAAGAUACAAGGAUUUCCUGUCAACAAAGUUACAAGACGAACUGAUGAGGAUCCCUCUUGCAGGGAUCGUAGCCAUCUUAUCAAGGAAUGACCUCGGGGUUUUACCUGAAGAAGCCGUCUAUGACUUUGUGCUCAGGUGGGCUGAUUCGCAGUACCCAAAUCCAGAAGAAAGACGCAAGAUCUUGAGUUCACAGUUACUUCCACUAGUACCACUAGUGCGAAGUAGGGUCAGAACCAUUGUACUCGAUUAG
This 837-nucleotide ribosomal RNA is filed under the name Triticum aestivum (bread wheat). RNAcentral's name for it is "partial small subunit ribosomal RNA". Lineage: Eukaryota; Viridiplantae; Streptophyta; Magnoliopsida; Poales; Poaceae. The record is from RNAcentral.